Molecule: non-coding RNA, 61 nt
Organism: Pristionchus pacificus
Lineage: Eukaryota; Metazoa; Nematoda; Chromadorea; Rhabditida; Neodiplogasteridae
Source: Rfam
UCUUCAUUCCGCAUGCUCUCUCACCGGUCAGAGUGACGAGAGAGCAUGCGAAAUGAAGAGA